RNAcentral lists this ribosomal RNA (253 nucleotides) under Holothuria scabra. RNAcentral's name for it is "partial small subunit ribosomal RNA". Lineage: Eukaryota; Metazoa; Echinodermata; Holothuroidea; Aspidochirotida; Holothuriidae. The record is from RNAcentral.
CAGAGCAGUAACGUCAACUAAAACUUAAAGAACUUGGCGGUUUUCUAGAUCUCCUUGGAGGAGCUUGUCAUCGAAUUGAUAACCCACAAGACACCUCACCAACUCAAGACUUAUCAGCUUGUAUACCAUCGUCGUCAGCUCACAUCAAAAGAGAGUAAGCCAAAUGGAAAAUACCCACAACGUCAGAUCAAGGUGCAGCUAAUGAGCUGGGGAUAGAUGAGCUACUUUAUUCACAAAACAGGGGAAGUAACCA